RNAcentral lists this ribosomal RNA (380 nucleotides) under uncultured eukaryote. RNAcentral's name for it is "partial 18S ribosomal RNA". It matches the Rfam family "Eukaryotic small subunit ribosomal RNA", at positions 592 to 976 of the family's 1831-position model. The record is from RNAcentral.
CAAUAGCGUAUAUUAAAGUUGUUGCGGUUAAAAAGCUCGUAGUUGGAUUUCUGCUGAGGACGAUCGGUCCGCCCUCUGGGUGAGUAUCUGGCUCGGCCUUGGCAUCUUCUUGGAGAACGUUACUGCACUUGACUGUGUGGUGCGGUAUCCAGGACUUUUACUUUGAGGAAAUUAGAGUGUUUCAAGCAGGCGCACGCCUUGAAUACAUUAGCAUGGAAUAAUAAGAUAGGACCUUGGUUCUAUUUUGUUGGUUUCUAGAGCUGAGGUAAUGAUUAAUAGGGAUAGUUGGGGGCAUUCGUAUUUAACUGUCAGAGGUGAAAUUCCUGGAUUUGUUAAAGACGGACUACUGCGAAAGCAUUUGCCAAGGAUGUUUUCAUUGA